UAAGCCUGUGAAGGUGUGUCGUGAGGCAUGCUGGAGGUAUCAGAAGUGCGAAUGCUGACAUAAGUAACGAUAAAGCGGGUGAAAAGCCCGCUCGCCGGAAGACCAAGGGUUCCUGUCCAACGUUAAUCGGGGCAGGGUGAGUCGACCCCUAAGGCGAGGCCGAAAGGCGUAGUCGAUGGGAAACGGGUUAAUAUUCCCGUACUUGGUGUUACUGCGAAGGGGGGACGGAGAAGGCUAUGUUGGCCGGGCGACGGUUGUCCCGGUUUAAGCGUGUAGGUGUGUGUUCCAGGUAAAUCCGGUUCACUUUAACACUGAGGCGUGACGACGAGGCACUACGGUGCUGAAGCAACAAAUGCCCUGCUUCCAGGAAAAGCCUCUAAGCAUCAGGUAACAUCAAAUCGUACCCCAAACCGACACAGGUGGUCAGGUAGAGAAUACCAAGGCGCUUGAGAGAACUCGGGUGAAGGAACUAGGCAAAAUGGUGCCGUAACUUCGGGAGAAGGCACGCUGACACGUAGGUGAAGUGAUUUACUCAUGGAGCUGAAGUCAGUCGAAGAUACCAGCUGGCUGCAACUGUUUAUUAAAAACACAGCACUGUGCAAACACGAAAGUGGACGUAUACGGUGUGACGCCUGCCCGGUGCCGGAAGGUUAAUUGAUGGGGUCAGCGCAAGCGAAGCUCCUGAUCGAAGCCCCGGUAAACGGCGGCCGUAACUAUAACGGUCCUAAGGUAGCGAAAUUCCUUGUCGGGUAAGUUCCGACCUGCACGAAUGGCGUAAUGAUGGCCAGGCUGUCUCCACCCGAGACUCAGUGAAAUUGAACUCGCUGUGAAGAUGCAGUGUACCCGCGGCAAGACGGAAAGACCCCGUGAACCUUUACUAUAGCUUGACACUGAACAUUGAGCCUUGAUGUGUAGGAUAGGUGGGAGGCUUUGAAGUGUGGACGCCAGUCUGCAUGGAGCCGACCUUGAAAUACCACCCUUUAAUGUUUGAUGUUCUAACGUGGACCCGUGAUCCGGGUUGCGGACAGUGUCUGGUGGGUAGUUUGACUGGGGCGGUCUCCUCCUAAAGAGUAACGGAGGAGCACGAAGGUUGGCUAAUCCUGGUCGGACAUCAGGAGGUUAGUGCAAUGGC
This 1132-nucleotide ribosomal RNA is filed under the name Salmonella enterica. RNAcentral describes it as "partial 23S ribosomal RNA". It matches the Rfam family "Bacterial large subunit ribosomal RNA", at positions 1243 to 2358 of the family's 2925-position model. Lineage: Bacteria; Pseudomonadati; Pseudomonadota; Gammaproteobacteria; Enterobacterales; Enterobacteriaceae. The record is from RNAcentral.